RNAcentral lists this ribosomal RNA (448 nucleotides) under uncultured bacterium. RNAcentral's name for it is "bacterial SSU rRNA". It matches the Rfam family "Bacterial small subunit ribosomal RNA", at positions 330 to 795 of the family's 1533-position model. The record is from RNAcentral.
ACCAGACUCCUACGGGAGGCAGCAGUGGGGGAUAUUGCACAAUGGGGGGAACCCUGAUGCAGCGACGCCGCGUGGGUGAAGAAGCGCCUCGGCGCGUAAAGCCCUGUCAGCAGGGAAGAAAAUGACGGUACCUGAAGAAGAAGCCCCGGCUAACUACGUGCCAGCAGCCGCGGUAAUACGUAGGGGGCAAGCGUUAUCCGGAUUUACUGGGUGUAAAGGGGGCGCAGACGGCGAUGCAAGCCAGGAGUGAAAGCCCGGGGCCCAACCCCGGGACUGCUCUUGGAACUGCGUGGCUGGAGUGCAGGAGGGGCAGGCGGAAUUCCUGGUGUAGCGGUGAAAUGCGUAGAUAUCAGGGGGAACACCGGUGGCGAAGGCGGCCUGCUGGACUGCAACUGACGUUGAGGCCCGAAAGCGUGGGGAGCAAACAGGAUUAGAUACCCUCGUACCC